This 90-nucleotide transfer RNA is filed under the name Halothiobacillus sp. RNAcentral's name for it is "tRNA-Ser". It matches the Rfam family "tRNA". From Rfam's summary of the family: Transfer RNA (tRNA) molecules are approximately 80 nucleotides in length. Their secondary structure includes four short double-helical elements and three loops (D, anti-codon, and T loops). The record is from RNAcentral. RNAcentral also lists the same sequence under 1 other name. Lineage: Bacteria; Pseudomonadati; Pseudomonadota; Gammaproteobacteria; Chromatiales; Halothiobacillaceae.
GGAGGGUUGGCAGAGCGGUUGAAUGCACCGGUCUUGAAAACCGGCAAGGGGGCAACUCCUUCCAGGGUUCGAAUCCCUGACCCUCCGCCA